UACAAAUUCAGUUCUUGGUACCAUUUCAGC
RNAcentral lists this non-coding RNA (30 nucleotides) under Rattus norvegicus (Norway rat). Lineage: Eukaryota; Metazoa; Chordata; Mammalia; Rodentia; Muridae. The record is from RNAcentral.